Molecule: unclassified non-coding RNA, 7815 nt
Filed under: Polistes dominula (European paper wasp)
Lineage: Eukaryota; Metazoa; Arthropoda; Insecta; Hymenoptera; Vespidae
Description: putative uncharacterized protein DDB_G0277255, transcript variant X3
Source: RNAcentral
CAUUCGAGUUCGAGACUUAUCGACUUUUGUGACGCACAUAAAUUCGCUUUGGAGCAGCAGGAUCGUCGCAUACAUUUUCAAACCAUUCAUAAAUAUCGUCUCAAAGUAUGUAAGAAAUUAUCGUUAAAUUACAAAAAUGUAAAUGCAACAAUUCGCAAUGACAAAUGAAAUUAUUUCGAUAUUAUUUCGUAUCGAUUUGUCAACGCAUAAAAUUUAAUUGAACAACAAAGAAGAGGAAUCAAUAAAAAAAAAAAAAACAAGAAGAAGAAGAAGAAAAGAACAAGAUUUUCAAAAUAUUUAAGCAAAAUGUAUUAUUGGUUGAUACGAGGUAACGAGAAUCAUUUGGUACAAGGUGCAGUAAAGAAUGAUGACGUCCCUGAAACCAGACGACAUUUUCGGAGGCCAAACGGCGUCUGAUCGGUUGUGUUUCUCCGCGCAAAUUGUAAUCGCGGUUUUUAUUGCAUCUUAAAAAAAAAGAAAAUUGUUGACUGUUGUGAGAGACACAUAUUCUUUGCCAUUAAAUGAUCUUUCUCUUUUCUUAGUGCAAUCGACAUUUUCCUGUCGUUCGUCAAAGAAGAGUGGAGAAAGACAGGGAGAGAGAGAGAGAAAAAGAAAAAAAAGGAGGGAGAAAGAAAGAGAGAGAGAGAGAGAGAGAGAUAAGAAAGAAACAAUUGAAAACUGCAAAAGACAAAUGACGCUUUGCCGCCUAGUUUGACCGAAUCUUUGACGUGACAUGUACGAUUUUAAUAUUUUGACUUAAAUGCGCGAGUGAAAUUUAAUGCGUGUGAUUUGUUAGACAUGCGAUCAAUGAUCAUAUAGAUCAUUAAGCAAGAUUUAUCAGUGAUUCAUAUACAUGAUCGAGCUGUAAAAACGAAGAGACAACGAGGUAACGUCUAUAUCCUUACCUCUUCAUAAUUUCCCCCUCAUACAUUGUCACUCUUUCUCUCUCUCUCUCUCUCUUUCUCUCUCUUUCUCUCUCUGAUCUUUUUCUUUCCCCUUUCUUUCCUUCUUUCUCUUUCGCGUACUCUCGCUCUCGCUCUUGCUCUCUAUCUGUAUAGGCAGGAUAUUCUACUACGAUCGUGUCGAGAAGAGUGUGGUGUACGAAGGUAUAACGGACAAUUGACACAGGUGAACAUUGGCACGAUCGAUAAGUUGCCGUGAAUGAUUUGAAAGUGUCAGUGAGCUUUGAUCAGAGUUGUCUUCUUCCUACAUGAAAUCUUCCUUGUGUGUCAUAUAAGGUAUCGAGCUAGAAAUAAGGAAAAAGAAAAAGACGAAAGAUGAUGAUGAUGAUGAUGAUGAUGAUGAGGAGGAGGAGGAGGAGUAGUAGUAGUAGUAGUAGUAGUAGUAGUGCGUGGUACGACACUGGUGCAUGUAAAGAAGAGAGAGAAAAAGGUAUCUAAAGCGAAAGAUAGAAGGAGUAAGGGAGAAAGCAGUGGCUGGUUCGAGGCCGAGAGACCGAACGAAACGGAGGAGUGAUGCCGUCAACGGGUCACGCACGAGAACGGAUCCGCUCUCCCGUCCUCGUACUCCGUCCACGCAUGCUAUGUACUCGUUUUCACGAGUAGAAACCUUUUCGAGGAGAGGACUUGGACACUGUGCGUCUGCAUUCGAAUAAGUCGUGACCGGUUGACGCGUACGUGCCGCUCUCUUCGUACCGCUCUCCGUACGACGGCCAUCUUGGAUUUACUAAGUGUCGCAUCGAACACCCGCGAAUAUCAAUUUUGUCGUCAUCGUAGUCGUCGUCUCUUUUUCCAAGUGAAUGGAGGAAGGAGGUCGAGCGGUGUGAAAAAAAAAAAAAAGAAAGGUGUUGGAAGGAACGCAAAGGAGAAGAAAACUCGAAAAUAAUACUUUCUGGAUAUAGACAGACGUACACAGUUUCGUUACGUUAAAAUGCGAAAUUAAUUUCAUUUGUCAAAGGAAAACGGACAGAGCUCAUAGGUUAAAACCAGGUAAAUGAUGAAAAUAGACUGAACAUUAUUUGAUUUAGUCGAAAGUGAGAUAAAAAUUAAGUUAGAUGUAGAAAACAAAGUGUUUCAAUUAACCUCGAAGAUAUGUCCUUAAUAUAAACUACGAAAAUGAGUGAAGUGUUGAAAGGAAGGAUCAAGUGCAAGGGAAAGUAUAAAAGUUGAAAGCACGUUUGACGUUGGAAUGGAUGGUACCGUUUUUGUCGUUCCCGGUGCGCGUGCAGUACGCGCCUGAAAAGAAAAGAAAAAAAAAACAUUUCAAGCUCUCCUUAUUCUUCUUGCACUUUCGGUACGUCCAAUUGUGUCGUCGUCGUUGUCAUUGACGAAUCAGGGAACGGACUGUUCUGCAAGCACACGCGUUCGUAAGUCGAUGAUAAAAGAACAGCUACUACUACGACGUGUCGACGACGUUCAACGAAUAAAACGUUAGUCAAUCUUACAACGUGAAAAUAUUCGUGCUCGUUUCGCUGUCAUAUUGUCACAUUUUCAAAAUAUAUAUAUAUAUAUACAUAUAUAUCACAAUAAAGUUACCUAUAGAUGAGGAAUCGCAUGAAACUAUUAUCACGUCUUGCGAAGAAUGACAAGGAGACUAUGAGCACGGCGGACACGGUCCUGUCAAUCAACGUCAAGAUGUCCCCAGGGCCGGACCAUCGUCAGGAACCGGUUGCACCUGACAAAAGCAACACUGAUAACAGUCGAACAGAAAUCGGCAAUGAUUCGGCUUCCGAAAGUACUAUACUCGGUACGCCAGAGGCCUUGGUAGUUCAGAAUAAUAAUCUUGAAGCAACUAGCAACCCGCGUAUCGAUACAAUUUCUGAGCCUACAAACGGUCAAGGUACAACACCUAACAGCGGCUCUGACAAUAAAAAGGGAAAAUCAACGGUCCUUGCCUUAGAUGAUGAUGGAUUACGUUCACUACUGAACGAAGCUUUAAAUUAUAAAAGACCUAAAGAUCGAGAAGGAAAAUCUAAUUUAUUUAAGGAACUCUUACAAGAAGCUGAAGCUGAUGAGACCGAAGAAGGUCGUAGGGUAGUGACUAAUUCACGGUGUCUCCCUGUUUCCACUCGUAGAAGGCAUAAACGAGAUUCUGUAUCAGAACGUCACAGACACGGUGGUUCUUUACAGAAUUUAGCACAACCUAUUGCAUCAGAGUUUGAUAGUAGUUUUGCUUAUCUAGCAUCUGGUUCUAGUCACACUUACGGAAGUGGUAAAAAAAAGAAUAAGAAAUAUACAGGUCCUAGUGUUUCUGCUAGGGAAAGAGAAGGUGGAUCUUUACCAUCUAAUGUUAACGCAUCCCACAGCCUUAUUUCUUUGGCCAACAGUCUUGUUUCUUUGGCCAAUCUUGAUCCCCUAUUUGACAACAAGAAGGGCUUUUAUGAAGAAAGAACAACAUAUGAUUGGACUAAUAAGGAGAAGUCAAAAUCUUUAGAUAAAUCGUCGAGUGUUGUUUCAUCAAAAAAAGAAGACAAAGAGAAAGACAAAAAAGAUAAUAAAAAGGAAUUUCUCACUAUAGAGGACUUUUUCGAAACUGAAAGUGAAUAUCGCGAGAGGAUAAGCAAGAAAGGAAAAUACGGGACAAAUGAGAUGCUUGAAUCACCACCAGAGUAUAAAUCUGAUUACACCGUUAUUGAUUUAAGUUAUGUCGAGGUAGGUGCUCUUAGCGAAAGGAAUGUUGGAUCUACAACAAGUGGGGUACAACAAAGACCUCACUCAUUAGACGCUGAAGAUGAGGGAAUUGAAAUGAAAAUAAUUGAACCACGUAGACAAUUUAUAGCACGUGCUACUGUUGAUAUAGCUCAAACUCCUGUAGAUACUACGAUAAAAUUUCCAAUUUGUGAUCAUAACGGUAAACAGGAUAAAUCAAAGAUAUCAGUUAGUGCUGAGGUGACGGGAACUUUUCCAUUUCAAACCUACAAUAGUGCGAAAUGUGUUAUUGGUGGUUCAGGAAACAGUACUAACAAUAAUCAAGGAAAAGGAAUCUCAAGUUUAUGUUCCAUGAUGCCAGCUUCAUGGCAGAUUCAAAAUAAUGCAUUAGAACUUCCAAGAUGUACAACACAGUAUGCCAUAAUGAAAGAUGCUACUUCUUCUGCGGAAAAGAAAUCUCUUGAUGAAAAUGGUAAUGCUGUACAAAAUUAUAAUGCAGAACGAAAGAAACGUGGAAAGAAGCAUAGACAGGAACCUAAUGUUACUGUUUAUAGCGCUGAAAGCGUUGUAGGACAUCGUAAUGAGGACGAUAUUGAUAGUUUACUUAACUUCAUCGAAAGCAAAGAAUCUAAAGGUAAAAAGAACAAAACUGGUAAUCCUGUCAGAGUGAAAUCUAGUUCUGGAACUAAACCUAGGACAAGAGAAAAGGAUUCUAAAAGAGAACAAUUAUCAAGUAAAUUACAAAAAUCAAAUUCAUUAGAGGAAAUAUCAAAAACGAAACUCGAGGAUCUUACCGCAGAACAAAGCAAUUGUUCUAGUGGCAAUAGCAGUAUCUCCAGUCAGCAUAGUAGUACAAUUAAUGUAGCAUUACGUCGUGCAAAACAAAGAAGUACAGGAGAUGCAGCGGUAGAUUGCCGUGGUGACAGACGUUCUUGGGGAACAGAGGAGGGUCAGUCUAUUUAUUGCAAUGAUACUGGAGACGAUUAUACUAGUCGUCGAAACUCUAACAAAAAAGUAAAUCCAGAACCAGAACAGGAGCCUGAAUUUUUAAUAGUUACUAAAAAGAAGAAGACUAAAAAACAACGUAGAAGUUCCAGUGGUAGUAGAGCGCAAAACUUAUCAACAACUGGAUCAUAUUUACAAAAUCCAAGAGGAUUUUCGAACGAGUAUAGAGCACCGUUGUCACCAGAACUCAGAAGAAAAUCUACUAGCAGUAUGCCACCAAGCGAUAAAUCUGAUAGCAGCGACUUGGAUUCGGUCCAUUCGUUACCUGUUACAUCGAAUACCUCGAAACAUAAUCUAUCGAAAACAGCAACCUCUUCGGGAGGAACACCACAAGCAAGUUACGCAGAUAUAGCUCGCAUGGCUACUAUGAAUAUGUCACAUAAUUCAGUUUUAAAUAUGCCAAUAGUUCCAAGUAUGUUAAAUACGUCAUCUUGGCCAAGAGUUCCAUCUAAAACUCCCUCAGAACCAGACAAAUUACCUCAAGAUUAUUAUCCAAGUUUGGAUGAAUUACAACACUCCGAUAGGAAACCAAAACAACAUGGUUUUGCACAUUCUAAUCAUGUUCACAAUGUUGGUCUUACUUUUGAAAAACCACCAUCACCAACUUUGUCGAAGAUUAAGAAUUCGUCAGAUCGAAAGAAGGCUGAAGCUCAAGAAGAGGCAAUUAAUAAGAAUAUGCAAGUUUUCAAAUAUUUUCAGGAUAUAGAAAAAAUGCAACAAAGUUUGACGCAACAGGAACAAAAACAUCUGAACAUAAUUAACUGUAAUCCACAUUCGAAUGAGUCAACACCAAAUGCAAUUCAAUCUAAAUUAAAUAACACUACUACUACUACUCCUACUACUAAUUCAUUCGAUUCUGAAAAUAACAAUCCUAAUUAUUCUAAUAACAAUAAAGAUAUUGUUGCGAAUACAAAAGUAAAUAAUCCACGAAAUAGGAGAAGUUAUUCGCAAAGUAAUCAAAAUAUACAAAAUCAACAAGAAGAAUUACAUUAUAGGAAAACUGGUUAUCAAGAUGAAAAUGUCAAGAAGAUACAUAACACAGAGAGUCCUACUGUAUAUUGUGAAACCAAAGCUAAUGUUAUAGGAACGAUAAUAGAUGAUAAUGAAGCUCCAAAACUUAAAGGAUUGAAUAAUCCAAAGUUGACACACGAAGUACAGAAUGUUGAUGCAGAUUCUGUUAAAACACCGAUGAAGAUAGACAAAAUGGUAGUAAAAACUGCGAAAGAGCAGUCUGGAAAAUCUGGAGUUGUAUUAUCUCAUAAUACAAAACAAGAUAAUCAACAAGAGGAUAAUGAAAAUAAAAAAUCAAAACCAUUGAUGUCUACUGAAAAUGAUAAAUUACAGAAAUCCGUAGAAACACAAGGAUCUACAAAGAAGAACAAUACUUCAUCCAGACCUGCAGUUAUCUUAUUGGAUGAGACAUCUGACUUUCUAAAAGGCAGUGAUUUACCAACAGAGUUAACAUUUGGGUUUGAGAUUAAUGAACUUUUACUUUCUGAAGAUUCUGUAGAGACUCCACCAGCAAAUCCUACAUUUCCAUCUUUGGUCCAACCACUUCUCAAUAAACCACCUCCAAAUUUUGACAACAGGCCACCUGCUAUCUACGACAAACAUGUGAGAUAUGAUAAAUUUCCUCCAAAUUUUCAUAUGCAAUCGCCUAACACUCACGUGGCUCAACAACCAGUACAUUCUGUGAUGGUUCCAUCUUUAACAUAUAUUGGAUAUCCAACAAGGUUUCCACCAGCAAUGUAUUCUCCACCAACACCACCACCACCUCCUGGAAUUAUAGAAAAAUACAAUCAUCAACCAAAGGAAGAUUUUGCCAUGUUGUAUGUAGCACCGGAAGAAGAUGUAAAUAUACAGAACUAUAAUCACGAUAAAAUUGUCUCGUUUGUUGGAUUGGCGUGGGAUGCUGUUAUGAGAGAGACAGCAGAAACGGGCAGAAUACAAUAUUACAGUGGACAGUGAAAUGGACUCAAUUCUACAGACAAAAAUAUACUAUAUACAGUUUGAUAUGAGUGAACUAUUAUCAUCUACACAUAAUAUUAAUUUACAUUCGGAAGAAGCUAUUUAACAUACAAAAUAUCAGAUAAGAUAUUUGAAACACACAAAGGUUGAUGUUGUAAAAAUGGAUGGAUGCAAAUGUUUCGAACAUUUUAUUAAUCAAGAUAAACACAUCAACAACAACAACAACUGUUGUCUGAAGCUGGAUUUCAUUAUUAAUGUUAUACCAGAAUAGCCGAAUGGCGCAGUGUGCCUCAAGAGAUAAAAUAAUGUAAAUAGGUCAGUUACCAAAAAAGAAGAAGAAGAAAAAAAAGAAACAAGAAAAAAAAGAAAAAAAAUGGAGACUGGAAAGGGAUACAUUUUUCAUCGAUGUACAUAGGAUAAUAAUUAUGCUUAUGCAAUUUUUGCAACAACAAAAAAAAAAAAAAGAAAAAAGAAAAACCAUAGCAACAUAUGAGAUAUAAUAAAAUAUUCAUUAAUAAUACCAUCUUUAACGAGAAAGAAAAUAAUGAAUUAAUAUAAUAAGAAAUGUGUAUGUUGCUCUUCUCUCUCAUAAAAUGAAGACUCAUUAAGGAGGAGAUAUACAUAUAACACAAACAAAGAAACAAAAUGGAAGAUAAAAGUGAGUAUCAACGAAGAAGGAUAUUUUGAAUAUCUUCAAUAUUCGUCUAAUUUAUUUGUUCUAAAUUUAAUGACGUUUAAUAAAUACGAAUGAAAGGUGUAAGAGAUAUGUUUUUUUUUUUUUUUUUAUAUAUAUAUUAAUUUUUGUAGACGUAAAUUUAAACAAUUAUCCGGAUUGUACAGUUCGUUCAACAACAUCGAUUAGAUCUAAAAAAAUAUAUGAAUCUUUGAACAAUAAAACAAAUACAACUUGUUGUUUGAUCAACAACAAAUCAAUUUGUAAUAAUGAAUAUCAAAAAAAGGUAAAGGAAUAUUUUAACGAUGAUUUAGAUAACAUUAAAUAUUCUCGUGAAGAUGUUGUAAAUGUUGCUGAAGAAAGAAAUAUUCAUCAUAUCGAUUUCAAUUCUGUUCAAAAUACUAAUACUACGAAUUUGUUUGAAAAACACGUUCCUUUGAGGAUUUUAAUAAAACAGAUGAUUGAUGAAAUAUUUGGAAAAUCUUCAAUCAACGAUAAAGAAGAAGAAAACGUUGAAGAAAUUGAUUUGCAUAAUACAAGUGAUAAAAUUAAUCAUUCUGA